CCCCGGCGCCACGAGUGGCAAUCUUAUAUUGGGCCUAAAGCAUUCGUAGCCGGUUUGGAAAAUCCUUUGUGAAAUUGUCGAACUCAAUACGACAGCGUGCAGGGGACACUUUCAGACUAGAGACUGGGAGGAGUUGGGGGUAUGCCUUGGGGAGCGGUUAAAUGCGAUAAUCCAAGGUAGACCACCUGUGGCGAAGGCGCCCAACUAGAACAGUUCUGACGGUGAGGGAUGAAAGCUAGGGGAGC
This 245-nucleotide ribosomal RNA is filed under the name uncultured archaeon. RNAcentral's name for it is "partial 16S ribosomal RNA". It matches the Rfam family "Archaeal small subunit ribosomal RNA", at positions 474 to 720 of the family's 1478-position model. The record is from RNAcentral.